RNAcentral lists this long non-coding RNA (2079 nucleotides) under Homo sapiens (human). RNAcentral's name for it is "HSALNT0097387". The record is from RNAcentral. Lineage: Eukaryota; Metazoa; Chordata; Mammalia; Primates; Hominidae.
CUUGCUCACUGCCUUAACCGCCCAAGAUUCUGACUUGCUGCAACUGCCUCUGAGAUUUCCUUUGACACCUAGCACUGUAGCCAGAUUUGGAUUAGAAAACCUGAACCAGCUGGCGAGAGCUCAGAAUUUUCCUGUGACCUCAAGAGGGCAAGCAGCAGCUGUAACCUCACCUUUGCCUCCAGAUGGCAUUGUUGCCACAUCAUCGUUUCCUGAGUAUGGAAUGAAACAGAGUUCUGAAAUACUGCCUGUUCUUUGCUAAGGAACUGAGCACGUCUGAAGAAGUCUUGACUCCCAUGGGCACCCCAGGCCUCCAAACAAACUUCUGGUCUUCCUUGUCAUCCUGCCUGUGUCAACUCCCCACCAUGAGUUUAGCAAACUUAACACAACCCUAUCCCUGAUGGUUCUUGGUGAGUUUUUUCUACUGAGUGGAAUGAAAAGCAAACCCUAAACACCUGUAUUCUUUCAAAGCCCUUAUCUAAGAGAUGCUUCCUUUGAGAAUAAGUAAGGAAUUUAUUCCCCUGCAUGUCUCUCAUCCAAACGAUGUCUGGCAUUUCCACUGGACACAGGUUGACACUGUUGCUACAUUCCUACCACCGCAGGAGAGAAAGGGCUGUUGACAGGGAGACGUUUGGAGUCUGAUGUGGGGAUGGGAGAAACAAUUAUCUGCAGGGAACACAAUUAACAAUGCUUAGGAAAUUGUUCACACAGCAAUUAAUUCUGCAUGCCUACCACCACGUAAAGUCAGACUGCAUUCUAUUAAGGUUAAAAACCUAUCUUCAAACAAUACAGCUCAGAUUGAUGGCCACAGAUGAAGGUGGCAAGGUGUCCGUGUGUGUGUGGGUGUGUCUGCUUUUCACUUACACUCUUCUCCAUCUUAGAACCAUGUUUUCUUUCCUCUAAAGUGAAAGGCCCACUGUUACAACUUCUUGAGAUGAUAAAUAGUAAUAAGAGUAAGUGACAUUUACUGUACACUUUCCAUCAAGGUAACACCUAAUUUUCUCCUGCAGUUUGUCCGUUAUAUGUAGGUCACUCACUUGAAGAGACCAGAUUCCAUUGCCUCAAAUAAUGACAUAUUUUCACUAUACAGAGGUCAGGAAAUGAGAACUAAUCAUGGUGGCUUCAAGAUAACGAUAGCUUCUGAUUUGUAAUUACCAGGUGAAGGGAGCCAAGGAAUUAGCUAUUUUAAAAUAAUUUUUUAAAAAAAUGAUACUAUUGGGUUAUUGAAGCUCGCCUUGGGCCAGCUGCAGCUGCACUGGAGGUGCGGUUCUUUCAAGGAGGGUCUUAAGACAGACACUGGCAGGUACUGCAGGUGCCGCUGGAACCCAGGCCUAACAAAGCUUUGAUUUCACGUCUAUGGAAGGAGUGGUGGGUCCCAUCAGGCAAAGAUGACAACCUCCCCAACAUCCCAUCUCAAACUCUUGUCAAAACUGCUCUGCUCUUAUAGCACUCAAUCUUGCCACUGUAAGGUGCAGAACAUAUUGCAACCAUCAGCUUUGGGAGAAAAGGAAGCAAACAAUCCCCUAAUGUUACUGAACAGGAAGAGACAUCCCUGCAACUGUGUUUCCUCUGUUUCCAAGGAUGCCUUCCCUCUUGCCUCCCCUUCCCACCUUUUUCUUUGUUUUGGGUUCCAUGGCAUCUUUUUAUUUUUAUUUUUUAAAAGUAUCCUGAAAAUAAGAAAACUACAGAUGAGGUGGAAAGGGUUAGGGUCAGAGUACACCAGUAACUUCUCAGACAACUCCCAGGAGUGAGAAGAAAAAUAAGAAAGUGAGAUGGAGGUGGAGAAGGGGAAAAGCCAAAUCUGCUGAACAUGAGACCUGUCCUUCCAAAAGAAGCAAUGCAACAAAAAUGAAACUCAAGUUUGGGCAUAUUUUCUGUUGUUGAACUGAACAUUAAGUAAAUAAGUGAGAAUUAUAUCUGGGGUAUAACCACCUUCUCUUGUUUUUUGGGAGCGUCUGAAAUAGGUUUUUGUUGGCACUUUUUUUUUUUUUUAAUCAGCCAUUCUUUCUCUCUCACUUGAGUAAGAAAACGAGAUGCUCUCUCUGGCCGGUGGGGAGGGACUAAAGUGUCCUUAGGAUAAAG